This 473-nucleotide ribosomal RNA is filed under the name uncultured bacterium. RNAcentral describes it as "partial 16S ribosomal RNA". It matches the Rfam family "Bacterial small subunit ribosomal RNA", at positions 28 to 507 of the family's 1533-position model. The record is from RNAcentral.
GAUGAACGCUAGCGGCAGGCCUAAUACAUGCAAGUCGAACGGGUGGUCGCAAGACCCCUAGUGGCGCACGGGUGCGUAACGCGUAACCAACCUGCCCCGAUCUGGGGGAUAGCCCGCCGAAAGGCGGAUUAAUACCGCAUAUACCCGCAGCCUGGCAUCAGGCAACGGGGAAAGAUUUAUUGGAUCGGGAUGGGGUUGCGUGACAUUAGCUAGUUGGCGGGGUAAGGGCCCACCAAGGCGACGAUGUCUAGGGGACCUGAGAGGGUGAUCCCCCACACUGGAACUGAGGGACGGGGCAGAAUCCUACGGGAGGCAGAAGUAGGGAAUAUGGGGCAAUGGGCGAGAGCAUGACCCAGCCAGGCCGCGUGCCGGAUGAAGGCCUUAGGGGUUGUAAACGGCUUUUCUCAGGGAAGAAAAAGACCUUGCGAGGUACACUGACGGUACCUGAGGAAUAAGCAACGGCUAACUCCGUG